GAUGAACGCUGGCGGCGUGCCUAAUACAUGCAAGUCGAGCGAACGGACGAGAAGCUUGCUUCUCUGAUGUUAGCGGCGGACGAGUGAGUAACACGUGGAUAACCUACCUAUAAGACUGGGAUAACUUCGGGAAACCGGAGCCAAUACCGGAUAAUAUUUUGAACCGCAUGGUUCAAAAGUGAAAGACGGUCUUGCUGUCACUUAUAGAUGGAUCCGCGCUGCAUUAGCUAGUUGGUAAGGUAACGGCUUACCAAGGCAACGAUGCAUAGCCGACCUGAGAGGGUGAUCGGCCACACUGGAACUGAGACACGGUCCAGACUCCUACGGGAGGCAGCAGUAGGGAAUCUUCCGCAAUGGGCGAAAGCCUGACGGGGCAACGCCGCGUGAGUGAUGAAGGUCUUCGGAUCGUAAAACUCUGUUAUUAGGGAAGAACAUAUGUGUAAGUAACUGUGCACAUCUUGACGGUACCUAAUCAGAAAGCCACGGCUAACUACGUG
Molecule: ribosomal RNA, 497 nt
Filed under: uncultured bacterium
Lineage: Bacteria
Description: partial 16S ribosomal RNA
Rfam family: Bacterial small subunit ribosomal RNA
Source: RNAcentral